UACGAAGGGAGCUAGCGUUGUUCGGAAUUACUGGGCGUAAAGGGCGCGUAGGCGGCCCGCUAAGUCGAACGUGAAAUCCCCGGGCUCAACCCGGGAACUGCGUCCGAUACUGGCAGGCUUGAAUCCGGGAGAGGGAUGCGGAAUUCCAGGUGUAGCGGUGAAAUGCGUAGAUAUCUGGAGGAACACCGGUGGCGAAGGCGGCAUCCUGGACCGAUACUGACGCUGAGGAGCGAAAGCCAGGGGAGCAAACGGG
Molecule: ribosomal RNA, 253 nt
Filed under: uncultured bacterium
Lineage: Bacteria
Description: partial 16S ribosomal RNA
Rfam family: Bacterial small subunit ribosomal RNA
Source: RNAcentral